This 218-nucleotide long non-coding RNA is filed under the name Prunus persica (peach). RNAcentral's name for it is "long non-coding RNA (PPER_LNC001907)". The record is from RNAcentral. Lineage: Eukaryota; Viridiplantae; Streptophyta; Magnoliopsida; Rosales; Rosaceae.
CGGGUUGGCAUUACCCGUUGAGCAAUGCUAUUCACAAUCGAAGUACUCAAUGUCUACCUUCUUGUCUCUCUCUCCCUUUCUUUUUUUAAUUAGUUUUUCUCUUUUCUCUUGGUUGUCUUCCUCUUUCUUUUAUUAUUCUUCUCUCCGUUGCCUCCGUACUCCUGCUUCUUCUCCUUCUUAAUAAACAGGGCUAAGCACAGACAACAACUAAACACAAA